GUCACGAACCGAACUUUUAUAUAACCCGAAUGGAGUUGAUUUUGAUAAACCCGAAAAACCGAAACCCGAAUGGAUAAAACCGAAACCCGAUUGGGACCCCGAAUGCCCAUGCCUAAUCCCAGUUUUGAACUUUUGAUCUUACAAUUUCUAUUACUUGGAGCUGAAAGAAUUUUGUUUUAUUUAUAUUCGUUAUUACUGUUUAUUUGGUGUGUUAGGUAAGAUAUUUAUUUUAUUUUUGGAUUUUAUAAAUAUAUUGAAGAUUAUUUAAAUUAUAAUUAAAUUAAUUUUGGUUUUAAACUUAAUUUAUUUCAUUUUUUUUUAAACCUGAAAAUCCCAAAUAGCUUAAUAGCCCUUUUAGCGCCGACCGGAGGUUUAAAACACGGACCGGACUAAACCAGGGUUAGAUAUUUAUAAUCUUUGUAGAUUUUGUACCAGAUCGGAUUAGCCCGAUUGACACCCCUAUGUAUAUAGUUAAUGUUAAACAUAAAAGAGAACUCAAGGGUCAGGAUGAAAACAAUAUUUCAUGAUCAUUUUAUUUUCUAAUGAGUGAAAAUUAUGGAGUGAAAUCCAUACUAAGGGUCUGAUUAGUAAUGGUUGUAGCUUUAAAACUUUUGCUGUAGAAAAAAUCUGUAGAUUUUUUGCUUUGGCUUUAGAUUUUAUUGCUGUAGAAUUUUAUGCAAAGCACUAAAAAAUUGCUUUGGAUAUUUGGCUCUGCAGAGCACUUGUACAGCUGUAGGUUAUUUUAAGAGCUGUGAUUUAAAAAAAAAAAUAAAGCUUGAUUUCUCUGAAUUUGGUGCUGUAGAAAUAAAUAGGGUUGUGGACAUCACCUACAGCAACUACCAAUCACCUCCUAAUUCUUUGGAAGAUAUGAAAAAACCAAGUAUUAUUUUUCGGCUAACACAAAGUGCAAACACAAUUCUCAACUUGUAACUGAAAAUAUAGUGAAUGAUAUAGUUCAUAAAGAAUAAUUUCAAAGAUAUAUAUAGUUGUGUUUGCUUUAUCAAACUAAAAAUCCAUACCAGCGAUGUUUAAAAAUUUAAUCCAUAACUCAACGCAAUAGAAUGAUUAUUAAUGAAUAUGUACGUUUUGAACAAUUAAUCCGACCUUACGAAAACUGUCGCUUAAAGAAUCAAUGAAAAACAACGAUUCACGGCCUCGUCUCUCUAUCACGUUGCUUCGUUUUAACUGAGAAAAAAUAACAACUACUGCUAAUACACACAAAACCCACUGUGAGCAACCGUGAAUUGUAUGAGACGCUUGCAACGGAGAGGAAAAGCGAUGUGCAUGAACAGAAAAUCACAGAGGAUAAAAAUAUAGGAAGGGCAUUGGGGAACACAGCACACACUGGAAAAACAAAUAGUAAUCGAAAAACUCCAGCUUUGAUUCUAGUUGAUAAGAAGUAGCAGUAAGAUACUGAGAUUAUUGCUGAAACCCAUACUUUGUUGCAGUUCUUGCGUUCUUCCUUCAUGUCCUAGAUCUUCUUCCUUUUUGAGUUGCUGAUGUUUUGAAAUCACCUAUGUUUUAAGUUUUUACUUGGAUGAUAAGCAAUUGGAAUAAAAUAUAAGGCAUGUGGUUUUACAGGCAGAUAGUGGAUGAAUAUUCUGAGACUAAAGUCGAACUAGCUUUUGCUUCAACAUGAAUCCAAGUUCAGUUUAGUAUUGUAAUGCACAUCGUAUAAGUUUAAGUAACAUUAAGGUAGCUUUUGUACGAGAUGUCAAAUUGUGUUAAUGUGAUAAAAAAAAAUAACCAACUCGUUCGAGAACUAAAGUACUCAUGAGAACUCAAAUAUCACAUGUUUUUCAUCUAAUAUUUGUUUUCUUAAGCUAAAAAAUAAUUAAAUAACAUUAUUUAAAUAUUAAUAAUUCUUUUGUUUGAGAUACUUUUUUGAAAAUUUUACCACUAAAAGUGCUCUUAAAUAAGGCUAACCAAUUUUUAUAUUUUUCAACACUUGUCAAAUUAAGGUUCUAUAUGCAGUGCGAACUUCAUACCUUGUGAAAAAGACUUUAAAUUUUAACCACUAGAUCAAAAUGCUUUCACUAUUUGAUUAAUUAAUUAAGCUAGUAAUUUUAAGUUUUUUUUUCAUGUUUUGAAUGGUAACCAAGAGAAUGAUGAGGAACUUUUUUUUUUUUUUGUCACAAGAGAAUGAUGAGGAACACUAUGUUUUUUAGCAUUCCUUAAAUUUUUUACCAUUCACUAGGAAUAGAUUUUUUUUUCAUUCCUCUUCAUUCUUUUGUUGUUUGUAGAGAAUUAUAAAACAAAUUUAUUCUUUAUUAAUUUUAAUAAGGAAUCAUCAUUCCUCAUCAUUUUUUAAAUUUUAUUCUUACUCAUUUUUUUCUUAUCCGUUUCUAUGAUCCGGUCAACAUUGAACUGGGAUGUUAAUAAGAGCGUUGUUGGGUAAAAUCUGGUAUUACAAAACGUUUAUAACUUUCAGAGUAAAACCAAUUGAAAACAACUGAACCAACUAGUGUUAACCAAACCCGUAUCACAAAUUGCGGAGUCGAAUGAAAAAAUGAGAAAUAAACAA
Long non-coding RNA from Brassica rapa (field mustard), 2524 nucleotides. RefSeq lists it as uncharacterized. The record is from RefSeq and is a predicted model, not a curated record. Lineage: Eukaryota; Viridiplantae; Streptophyta; Magnoliopsida; Brassicales; Brassicaceae.